CCUACGGGGGGCAGCAGUGGGGAAUAUUGCACAAUGGGGGAAACCCUGAUGCAGCGACGCCGCGUGAGUGAAGAAGUAUUUCGGUACGUAAAGCUCUAUCAGCAGGGAAGAAAAAAAGUCUUUUGGACUUUGGACGGUACCUGACCAAGAAGCCCCGGCUAACUACGUGCCAGCAGCCGCGGUAAUACGUCGGGGGCAAGCGUUAUCCGGAUUUACGGGGCGUAAAGGGAGCGUAGACGGCAACGCAAGUCUGGAGUGAAAGGCCGGGGCCCAACCCCGGAACUGCUUUGGGAACUGUGCAGCGGGAGUGCAGGAGAGGUAGGCGGAAUUCCUGGUGUAGCGGUGAAAUGCGUAGAUAUUAGGAGGAACACCGGUGGCGAAGGCGGCGUGCUGGACUGUAACUGACGUUGAGGCUCGAAAGCGUGGGGAGCAAACAGGAUUAGAUACCCUAGUAGUC
Molecule: ribosomal RNA, 457 nt
Filed under: uncultured bacterium
Lineage: Bacteria
Description: partial 16S ribosomal RNA
Rfam family: Bacterial small subunit ribosomal RNA
Source: RNAcentral